RNAcentral lists this ribosomal RNA (468 nucleotides) under uncultured bacterium. RNAcentral's name for it is "partial 16S ribosomal RNA". It matches the Rfam family "Bacterial small subunit ribosomal RNA", at positions 28 to 507 of the family's 1533-position model. The record is from RNAcentral.
GACGAACGCUGGCGGCGUGCUUAACACAUGCAAGUCGAACGGAAAGGCCCUGCUUUUGUGGGGUGCUCGAGUGGCGAACGGGUGAGUAACACGUGAGUAACCUGCCCUUGACUUUGGGAUAACUUCAGGAAACUGGGGCUAAUACCGGAUAGGAGCUCCUGCUGCAUGGUGGGGGUUGGAAAGUUUCGGCGGUUGGGGAUGGACUCGCGGCUUAUCAGCUUGUUGGUGGGGUAGUGGCUUACCAAGGCUUUGACGGGUAGCCGGCCUGAGAGGGUGGCCGGCCACCUUGGGACUGCGAUACGGCCCAGACUCCUACGGGAGGCAGCAGUGGGGAAUAUUGCACAAUGGGCGGAAGCCUGAUGCAGCAACGCCGCGUGCGGGAUGACGGCCUUCGGGUUGUAAACCGCUUUCGCCUGUGACGAAGCGUGAGUGACGGUAAUGGGUAAAGAAGCACCGGCUAACUACGUG